UACUAACAGGUAAUGCUGAGGACUCUGGCGGAACUGCCGGUGACAAACCGGAGGAAGGUGGGGAUGACGUCAAGUCAUCAUGGCCCUUAUGUCCAGGGCUACACACGUGCUACAAUGGUUGGAACAGAGUGAAGCGAAGCCGAGAGGUGAAGCAAAACGCAGAAAGACAAUCGUAGUUCGGAUUGGAGUCUGAAACCCGACUCCAUGAAGUUGGAAUCGCUAGUAAUCGCACAUCAGCACGGUGCGGUGAAUACGUUCCCGGGCCUUGUACACACCGCCCGUCACACCAUCCGAGUAGAGGGUACCCGAAGCCGGUAGUCUAACCGUAAGGAGGACGCUGUCGAAGGUACGCUUUGUGAGGGGGGUG
RNAcentral lists this ribosomal RNA (367 nucleotides) under uncultured bacterium. Its description in RNAcentral is "bacterial SSU rRNA". It matches the Rfam family "Bacterial small subunit ribosomal RNA", at positions 1116 to 1482 of the family's 1533-position model. The record is from RNAcentral.